Molecule: long non-coding RNA, 316 nt
Organism: Pyrus x bretschneideri (Chinese white pear)
Lineage: Eukaryota; Viridiplantae; Streptophyta; Magnoliopsida; Rosales; Rosaceae
Exons: 3
Source: RefSeq, a predicted model, not a curated record
GUCAAGCAUGACAUCCUUUCUAUAGACCUGAGGGGAAAUUAUGAGACAUGGAAAUUGUUGCCAAAUGCGAGGACAUAAAGUUGUCUAUUUGCAAAAUUACGAUGAAGUGGCACAAGGACCCUAAGUUGAGAUUGCAAAUGAAAAGAUUGUAUUUGCAGCGUUGAUGCAUUGUUGAGCCAGAGACGCAAAAGGAAGGAUGUAUUCAAUCUCAAGAUCUGUGAGCUUUCACUUCUUAACUUUAUUAUUAUUAAUUUUGUUUGCUCUUUGAAAUUUGAAUGUAUUAGUUUUUUAAUUUUAUUGGGAUUAGUUUACCUGA